GCUAAUUGAACUAAAAUGAUUGCAAUGAGCCAAAAUGUGUGGAGCUCAGAUUGUGACUAACUUAAGCCAUAUCUAGUUAGCAUAGCGUAGCUCGAUUCUAUGAUCUACUCCUGGACAUGACUUGAAAUGAGAUGGAAGACCAUGUGAAGCUAUAGGGAUACAUGCUGAUACAUAAUUAGCUUCACAUCUAGUGAACGGCCAUGUACACUAAUGCAUGCAGGCACA
Molecule: long non-coding RNA, 225 nt
Filed under: Elaeis guineensis (African oil palm)
Lineage: Eukaryota; Viridiplantae; Streptophyta; Magnoliopsida; Arecales; Arecaceae
Description: long non-coding RNA (EGUI_LNC033834)
Source: RNAcentral